Molecule: non-coding RNA, 18 nt
Filed under: Rattus norvegicus (Norway rat)
Lineage: Eukaryota; Metazoa; Chordata; Mammalia; Rodentia; Muridae
Source: RNAcentral
UAACUUAAUGGCUGAAGC